Homo sapiens (human) is the source of this 742-nucleotide long non-coding RNA. Ensembl annotates it as RNF32 antisense RNA 1. Its record names the gene RNF32-AS1. NCBI's taxonomy places the organism in Eukaryota, Metazoa, Chordata, Mammalia, Primates, Hominidae. The record is from Ensembl.
AGAUGGUGGUGAUGAAUAAAAUAAAUGGCUCUCCUUAGGAGCCUUGAAAAUGACUAUGGUUUCUCUGCACUGUGAGAGCGACAUGUGCAGCACCUGGGCAGGCGUGAGGGGUGGACUUACUUUGUGGAACACAUGGGAGCAUGAAAGCAGCACCUGUUCAUGAGGAAACAGAACGACGUUGAAGUUUACAAAAGAGAAGCAGCAUGUAUCCAACAGUUAAAAUCCUGAAUGCUUAGAAGAUGGGGCAUGGUUGCACGGAGUCCCCUUGCAGGAGAGAGCGCUGUUUCACCUUCUCCCAUUCAUCUGAUGACAGUGGAGGUGGUGGAGGCCCAAUGAGGCCCAACUUCUGUGCUAAAGUAAGACAGCACAGGACAGGAGUUAGAGUGUCUUUUAGCAUAUGGCACCCACCUAUAACUUUAAUGACACCAUUUGCAAACAAAGAUUAAAGAACUACAUAUAGAUCACAUACUUUAUUUCACAAUAGAAGCUGUCCAUUGGUAUCCACAGGGAAUGUGUUCCAGGACAUUCCAAGGAUGCUCAAGUCCCUGAUAGAAGAUGGUGGAGUAUUUGCAUACAACCCAUGCAUAUCCUCCUGUAUACUGCCAGUCAUCUCGAUUACCAAUAAUUCCUAAUGCAAGUGCUAUGUAAAUAGCUGUUAUACUAUAUUGUUUUUAAUCUGUAUUAUUUUUAUUAUAUUGUUGUAUUGUUAUUUUUUAUUCAUUUAUUAAAAUUUUGAUCUGUG